RNAcentral lists this ribosomal RNA (301 nucleotides) under uncultured bacterium. RNAcentral describes it as "partial 16S ribosomal RNA". It matches the Rfam family "Bacterial small subunit ribosomal RNA", at positions 509 to 807 of the family's 1533-position model. The record is from RNAcentral.
CAGUCGCCGCGGUAAUACGAAGGGUGCAAGCGUUACUCGGAAUUACUGGGAGUAAAGCGUGCGUAGGUGGUGGUUUAAGUCCGUUGUGAAAGCCCUGGGCUCAACCUGGGAAUUGCAGUGGAUACUGGAUCACUAGAGUGUGGUAGAGGAUAGUGGAAUUUCCGGUGUAGCAGUGAAAUGCGUAGAGAUCGGAAGGAACAUCUGUGGCGAAGACGACUCUCUGGUCUGUAACUGACGCUGAGGAGCGAAAGCGUGGGGAGCGAACAGGAUUAGAUACCCCUGUAGUCCCUGUCUCUUAUAC